Rhinopithecus roxellana (golden snub-nosed monkey) is the source of this 686-nucleotide long non-coding RNA. RefSeq lists it as uncharacterized. The transcript is spliced from 3 exons. Lineage: Eukaryota; Metazoa; Chordata; Mammalia; Primates; Cercopithecidae. The record is from RefSeq and is a predicted model, not a curated record.
UGUCCAGCAGGGCCUUGGCGGCGCCCUAGCAGCUGAGGUUCAGCCGCUGCGCGCCCAGGUUCAUCUCAUUGGUGGACGCCGCGGGCCUGCGAGUUCGGAGCGGGUAUAUGAGACAAGGACCCGGGGAGUUGGCCUCUUUGGUUCAUUCUUUGCACUGUUUAUGUCCUCCUCAUGCUGUUCUUCUGCCUGGACAACUUUAUCACCCACCCUCCACUCAGCUAACUGCCACUCAGCCUUCACAUCCGAACUUACUAAUCUCUCACUUUGGGAGACUGUGCCUCCUAAACAAGGUUACAAUUUCCUGCCAUGUGCCAUCAGAGCCUGCUGAAUUCUGUCUAUCACAUAGGAUAUUCAUCACGAUUGAAGAUUAUUCACUUGUCUUCCACCUCCCCCAGAAGACUGUGAGUUCCCUGAAAUCAGGGUCCUUGUCUGCCCUGCUCAUCCCUGAAGCCCCAAAUCCCCACUGCACUGAAGUGUGAAUUCCAUUCUGUUACUGCUAGAAACAAAUGGUUAGUGGUGGCAGGAAGUAGGGAUGCUAGCAUCUACAGUAAUUCAACACCUUUUCCUGAUUCAUCUGGGAUAAGCUAGGGAUGGAUGAAAGGUUACAGCUAGAGGAUUGACAUUUUGUUGGGAUGAAAAACAAUGGAUUUCUAGGAGAGAGACUGGCUAUUUGAUUAUAAUACAUA